CUACAUGUAAGCUACCGUUUGGGGAUGAGCCCGCGUACCAUUAGCUUGUUGGUAGGGUAAUGGCCUACCAAGGCUGCGAUGGUUAGCUGGUCUGAGAGGAUGAUCAGCCACACUGGAACUGACACACGGUCCGGACUCCUACGGGAGGCAGCAGUGAGGAAUUUUGCGCAAUGGGGGAAACCCUGACGCAGCAACGCCGCGUGAGUGAUGAAGGCUUUCGGGUCGUAAAGCUCUGUCAAGUGGGAAGAAACCACAUGAUGUUAAUAUCAUCUUGUGCUGACGGUACCACUGAAGGAAGCACCGGCUAACUCCGUGCCAGCAGCCGCGGUAAUACGGGGGGUGCAAGCGUUAUUCGGAAUUACUGGGCGUAAAGAGCGCGUAGGCGGUCUUUUAAGUCAGGUGUGAAAGCCCGGGGCUCAACCCCGGAAGUGCACUUGAAACUAAGAGACUUGAGUAUGGGAGAGGGAAGUGGAAUUCCUGGUGUAGCGGUGAAAUGCGUAGAUAUCAGGAGGAACACCGGUGGCGAAGGCGACUUCCUGGACCAAUACUGACGCUGAGGCGCGAAGGCGUGGGGUGCAAACAGGAUUAGAUACCCUGGUAGUCCACGCAGUAAACGGUGAACACUAGGUGUAGCGGGUAUUGACCCCUGCUGUGCCGCAGCAAACGCAUUAAGUGUUCCGCCUGGGGAGUACGGCCGCAAGGUUAAAACUCAAAGGAAUUGACGGGGGCCCGCACAAGCGGUGGAGCAUGUGGUUUAUUCGACGUAACGCGAAGAACCUUACCUGGAUUUGACAUCCCGGGAACCUUUUUGAAAGAUUAGAGUGCCCUUCGGGGAGCCCGGUGACAGGUGCUGCAUGGCUGUCGUCAGUUCGUGUCGUGAGAUGUUGGGUUAAGUCCCGCAACGAGCGCAACCCCUUUCUUUAGUUACCAUCAUUUAGUUGGGGACUCUAAAGAUACUGCCCCGGUUAACGGGGAGGAAGGUGGGGAUGACGUCAAGUCCUCAUGGCCUUUAUGUCCAGGGCUACACACGUGCUACAAUGGGCUGUACAAAGGGUUGCCAACCUGCGAAGGUGAGCUAAUCCCAGAAAGCAGUUCGUAGUUCGGAUUGGAGUCUGCAACUCGACUCCAUGAAGCUGGAACCGCUAGUAAUCGUGGAUCAGCAUGCCACGGUGAAUACGUUCCCGGGCCUUGUACACACCGCCCGUCACACCAUGAGAGUUGGUUGUACCAGAAGUCGUUGGGCAAACCCUUCGGGGAUGCAGGCGCCUAAGGUAUGGCUGAUGAUUGGGGUGAAGUCGAAACAAGGUA
RNAcentral lists this ribosomal RNA (1308 nucleotides) under metagenome. RNAcentral describes it as "bacterial SSU rRNA". It matches the Rfam family "Bacterial small subunit ribosomal RNA", at positions 201 to 1498 of the family's 1533-position model. The record is from RNAcentral.